GCUGAGUUUAAGCAUAUCAAUAAGCGGAGGAAAAGAAA
This 38-nucleotide ribosomal RNA is filed under the name Oxytropis lambertii. RNAcentral's name for it is "partial 26S ribosomal RNA". The record is from RNAcentral. Lineage: Eukaryota; Viridiplantae; Streptophyta; Magnoliopsida; Fabales; Fabaceae.